GGGACUCGGGAGAGCGGCAGUGAGGCAGAGACGGAGAGAGAGACGGAGCUGAGGAGAAGGGAGAGAGAGAGAGAGAGCGCGCGAGAGUACUUGGAUGGUUAUCUGCGCUCAGGGACGGAAAGCCACUCGCUCGGGGAGCGCGCCGAGCACCUGUCCGACUCGUCCAGACCACAUUCCCGCCUUCCCUCCUCAAGUAUCUACAAAACGCUGACUCUCCACUCAUCCACUGCUCAAGUCUCGGUCCUGUGACUGCGUUUUGGCUCGAUGUCUUGACGAUGACGGCUUACGGCUCACGGAAUUCAAAACUCCAGCGUCUCGAAAUAUUGGAACAGGACCGUGUUGAGACCAGACGCGAGUCUUACUACAGCCCUGUUGUGUUUCUUCUGUCGUCUUCUUCCUGCAGUGCUCCUGCCAAUCUGACCCACUUUAAUUCACAAAAUCUCGAAGGCUACUGUUCUCAGCUAUAGAUAGAAUUUGCUCUGACCUGCCUUGCAAGAGGAGGAAAAAACCAAGAGUAUCUAAGGUCGUGUCCCUCUGUAAGGAAGCGGAACAAAGAGGACGACACAGUCAAAAGUGU
Long non-coding RNA from Ictalurus punctatus (channel catfish), 577 nucleotides. Lineage: Eukaryota; Metazoa; Chordata; Actinopteri; Siluriformes; Ictaluridae. The record is from Ensembl.